GUGAACAACUCUUACAGUUCUGUUCUGCAAAGAAAGAAAUAAAUAAUCUUUUUUUUUCCCCCUCUCAUAGGACUAACUUCAGUGGGAAUUGCUCAUGAAAAAGAGAAAGGAUCACCUGGAUUCUUCUGGAGCUGGGAAAUCUCCAGGAAAGACCUGCCCAAGGCACAGGAAGAAGAUCUGAGCUCUGCAGAGGCUCCAUCACACCUGGAGCUUCAGGCAAGCACCACCUCCCCUGCUUGGAGCUUCCCUGCCGAGUGCUGACGGCGGAUUGAGAGAGAAGGAAUAAACCCCAGCAUUUUAAAGCCACCCCGUGGAACAGAGGGUAUGUAGAUUUAUUUUCCAUGGCUUUCUUUAAUUAUUUCUUAAUCCUGCAAUUUCUGUGUUCUGCUUACCCCAGUUAUAUUCAGAGGAAUGUUUCAGAAUCAGGGAUAUCCAAAGAGGAAGAAAUUAAGGGAAAUAUUCACAUUGAGGCCACUCCCAGCACGUGACCAGAGCUGUGCUCUCCAUCACUCAGCAGCAGAGAAAAAUCUGGAGAUCAUUUCUAAUUCCACCAUGAAUUCCCUUCUUUUCCAGGGUCUGCCAGUGCUGGUGAAGUCUCUUUUGAGAAGCACAUGGAAAAUCUGCCAUCCCAAAUCCAGCUGCUCCUUCCCCCUGGCCAGCAGCCUGAGGAGGAGCUGUUUACAGGUGCUCCAUCCCAGCUCUGACUUCUGCUGGAUCUUUCCAUAUUCCUGAUCUCCUUUUGGCAGCUGGAUGGGAAGGGAAUGCCAUGGCCAAGGAGGGAUUGCCAAGGAGGGAUUACCAAGGUUCAAGAUGUAUUCCAAGGGAACACGAGUUCUGUGUGGCACCUCUACACCAGGUCAGUGCCUUCUCCCUGGACUCGCUGCCAGAGCUCUGAGGAGCAUCCCUGAUCGCUCAGGGUCUGCAGAUGGCUUUAAGGGUGAUCAAAAUGGCACAGUGGAAAUUCCCUGCUAUCAGGAAUUACAUAGCCGCAAGGCUGAAAUGAUUCAGUAAAUUGUAUUUGAUCAAUUUUUUUUCUUAUAGGAAGCAAAUGGCUGAUGAAAAGUUUCAGAAAGUGCUUUAUAAUCAGGCAGAGUGAGUCAGUUCUGUAUUUUCUGCUUUUUUUUCCAUUUUGUAAUUGGUUGGAAAAGUCUGUGAGUUCUGGUUUGUUGUUUACAAAGUGCUGAGAACACCGUGACACUUCUGAAAAUACAAAUAAUAGUGGCAGUGAACAGUAGCAUCAGACCUUUUCUGAUGGCUUGGAAAUCCCUGGAUUCUUUUAUUCUCCACCCCUUGGAGUAUCCUGUGCUUCCAUUUCUGGCUUUGGAUGCCAGUAAAGCACAGCUGGGGCUCUGGAGAUGGGACACAGAACCACACGGAUUUGGGCUGGCAGGGACAUGACUUCAUGUUCCUUUCUCCUUCAGCUUAUCUGAGGGGAGGAAACUGGGGACCUUAUCUUUUUCUGAGUGGAAAAACUGAUUUCAAGUGCACAUGUUUGAAGCUGCAGCAGUGAGCCAGGUUGGCUUGACUAAACCACAAAAUCUGACUGAGCCUAAUUAGAAACCAGGAUGCCUCCCAGCACUUAAAGGUUGCUUUCAAGAUUCUGAUGAGCUGACAAAACAGAUUAGUGAGAGGUGGGAUUGGUAUGAGCCAUGUUUG
This 1656-nucleotide long non-coding RNA is filed under the name Parus major (Great Tit). RNAcentral's name for it is "lncRNA (ENSPMJG00000008646.1)". Lineage: Eukaryota; Metazoa; Chordata; Aves; Passeriformes; Paridae. The record is from RNAcentral.